CCUCUUCACGUGCACGGAUCGCAUAAGCUUUGGCGAAAGCUUGAGCUUCAGAUAGAACUGCUGUGUCUUUGGCCCCACUUCUGCUGACUUCUGCAGCACCACUAUUUCUUGGACUUCUGCCUUUGGUAGAAGUAACAACAAGUUUUGCUUUCCAAUCUAUGUUUGCCUCAAUUCGCUUCGGUCAAUCUCUUUUGAAAGGACCGGGAGAUCCACAAAUAAAGCAGGAUUUGUCAUUCUUCCCACAUACACUGAAGUGAUUUUGGCCACAUUCACUACAUUCUGGGUUGUUUACAUUACGGAUGCUACCCAUGCUAGUCAUUGAAGGUGCC
This 329-nucleotide long non-coding RNA is filed under the name Gossypium barbadense (sea-island cotton). RNAcentral's name for it is "long non-coding RNA (GBAR_LNC018584)". The record is from RNAcentral. Lineage: Eukaryota; Viridiplantae; Streptophyta; Magnoliopsida; Malvales; Malvaceae.